GACGAACGCUGGCGGCGUGCUUAACACAUGCAAGUCGAGCGGUAAGGCCCUUCGGGGUACACGAGCGGCGAACGGGUGAGUAACACGUGAGCAACCUGCCCCUGACUCCGGGAUAAGCGGUGGAAACGCCGUCUAAUACCGGAUACGACCCGCCACCUCAUGGUGGAGGGUGGAAAGUUUUUCGGUCAGGGAUGGGCUCGCGGCCUAUCAGCUUGUUGGUGGGGUAACGGCCUACCAAGGCGAUUACGGGUAGCCGGCCUGAGAGGGCGACCGGCCACACUGGGACUGAGACACGGCCCAGACUCCUGCGGGAGGCAGCAGUGGGGAAUAUUGCGCAAUGGGCGAAAGCCUGACGCAGCGACGCCGCGUGGGGGAUGACGGCCUUCGGGUUGUAAACCUCUUUUACCACCAACGCAGGCUCGAAGUUCUCUUCGGGUUGACGUAGGUG
RNAcentral lists this ribosomal RNA (448 nucleotides) under Nocardiopsis sp. oral taxon B75. RNAcentral describes it as "bacterial SSU rRNA". It matches the Rfam family "Bacterial small subunit ribosomal RNA", at positions 28 to 481 of the family's 1533-position model. Lineage: Bacteria; Bacillati; Actinomycetota; Actinomycetes; Streptosporangiales; Nocardiopsidaceae. The record is from RNAcentral.